RNAcentral lists this long non-coding RNA (522 nucleotides) under Equus caballus (horse). RNAcentral's name for it is "lncRNA (ENSECAG00000030789.2)". The record is from RNAcentral. Lineage: Eukaryota; Metazoa; Chordata; Mammalia; Perissodactyla; Equidae.
CUGAGUUCUAAUCCAGACUCCCCCGCUACCAGGGUGACCUUGGGCGAGAUCACAUCUUUCUUUACAUUAGUUGUACUGCUGGUAACCAAGGGAGCACCAUGUCAGAAAACGACCACAUGACGUAGUUCGCUCAGCUGUUGAGAUCACUCUCUUGGUGUGCUGCUUUGUGUCUGACAGGAGGAGUAACAACCAGCCUCCGAGAUGAGGACUAAUUCCAGCACUUGUGAAAGACGCUGGGGAAGAUUAAAGACAACUGGAGAAUUCACUGGAGUGGCAUAAAAAAAAAAUUAUCUGAGUGACGUAUUGAUUAAUGAAGCCACUCCUAGAAACCAAUGAAAAUCAUUAAAGAAUAUUCUUAAGUACUUUUAGGAGUUUCUCUUUUUUGGUUUGUGUACAUAGAGAAAUAUGUAGUAACAUUACUCAUGCUUCAAGUUACUAAUUUAAAAAUACAAUUGUUUUUACUAGACUUUAAAAAAUAUUGGAAUAUACUCUCUCACCACAGCAAGAUUCUGACUUCAUUUC